Molecule: non-coding RNA, 714 nt
Organism: Odocoileus virginianus texanus
Lineage: Eukaryota; Metazoa; Chordata; Mammalia; Artiodactyla; Cervidae
Source: RefSeq, a predicted model, not a curated record
AAACACAUAUCAGAAUACCCGGUGGAAAGGCACUUGAUGUAAACGCUUCUUCAUGCAUUUGGCUGCUAUUAAAAGGCAGUGCUAUGCAGGUAUGAAUGAUGUCACCGCUUUCUCUUCUGAAGGAGGACAUCCCACUAUGAAGUAGAGUUGGGAGGCAGGCCGUGGGAAGCAGUAACGGCCCUCCAGCAAGGGCCACAGUCCAUCUACUUAUGGGGUGAUGUCAGGGCAAACUUAACCUUUGCCAUCAUCUUCCAUGGGUUUCAGUCACUCUGGUAGCUGCUCUCUGCCACCAUACACCGUGCUGGCUUCUGAGGACGGGGUGAUGACUCACAGAUGUGACCUCUGCCCUCAAGGAGGUAACAGACAGGAGAAGGGAAUCCCAUUUCUUGGGGUGACAGACUUGAAGUGAGGAAGUAUGUUCAGCAAAGGCCCAGAGUAGUGAGAGCGAAGGCGACAAGCUAAAAGAACUGAAACAAAGGAAGUGUGGCUGAAACAUCAAAGGAGAGAGGGACAUGGAGAGACAUGAGUUUAGAGGUGGCAGUCUGGGUCUGCCAUGAAAGGCCUCCAAAGCCGUGAGUAAUUGCUCCAUCUUCCUGGGGUGGACCCAAGGCAGCAAGAGAGACGGGGAGCAGUGGUGUGAUGUCAACGUGGUCAUCCUUCACUGGACAUCUUGAUGUAUAGGACGUGAUGCUAAUAAAAAGAUGGUGCUCAUGA